UACUGAGUGGCAGACGGGUGAGUAACAUGUGGGAAUCUGCCUUGUGGUUCAGGACAACAUUGGGAAACCGAUGCUAAUACUGGAUAAGCCCUUACGGGGAAAGUUUUAAUGCCAUAAGAUGAGCCCGCAUUUGAUUAGUUAGUUGGUGAGGUAAUGGCUCACCAAGACAAUGAUCAAUAGCUGAUCUGAGAGGAUGAUCAGCCACACUGGGACUGAGACACGGCCCAGACUCCUACGGGAGGCAGCAGUGGGGAAUCUUGCACAAUGGAGGAAACUCUGAUGCAGCGAUGCCGCGUGAGUGAAGAAGGCCUUUGGGUUGUAAAGCUCUUUUGUAGGGGAAGAUAAUGACUGUACCCUAAGAAUAAGGUCCGGCUAACUUCGUGCCAGCAGCCGCGGUAAUACGAAGGGACCUAGCGUAGUUCGGAAUUACUGGGCGUAAAGCGCGCGUAGGCCGUUGAGUUAGUUAAUUGUGAAAUCCCAAAGCUUAACUUU
Molecule: ribosomal RNA, 492 nt
Filed under: uncultured Alphaproteobacteria bacterium
Lineage: Bacteria; Pseudomonadati; Pseudomonadota; Alphaproteobacteria
Description: bacterial SSU rRNA
Rfam family: Bacterial small subunit ribosomal RNA
Source: RNAcentral